CGAACGCUGGCGGCGUGCCUAAUACAUGCAAGUUGAGCGAUGAAGAUUGGUGCUUGCACCACUUUGAAGAGCAGCGAACGGGUGAGUAACGCGUGGGGAAUCUGCCUUUGAGCGGGGGACAACAUUUGGAAACGAAUGCUAAUACCGCAUAACAACUUUAAACAUAAGUUUUAAGUUUGAAAGAUGCAAUUGCAUCACUCAAAGAUGAUCCCGCGUUGUAUUAGCUAGUUGGUGAGGUAAAGGCUCACCAAGGCGAUGAUACAUAGCCGACCUGAGAGGGUGAUCGGCCACAUUGGGACUGAGACACGGCCCAAACUCCUACGGGAGGCAGCAGUAGGGAAUCUUCGGCAAUGGACGAAAGUCUGACCGAGCAACGCCGCGUGAGUGAAGAAGGUUUUCGGAUCGUAAAACUCUGUUGGUAGAGAAGAACGUUGGUGAGAGUGGAAAGCUCAUCAAGUGACGGUAACUACCCAGAAAGGGACGGCUAACUACGUG
RNAcentral lists this ribosomal RNA (495 nucleotides) under uncultured bacterium. RNAcentral describes it as "partial 16S ribosomal RNA". It matches the Rfam family "Bacterial small subunit ribosomal RNA", at positions 30 to 507 of the family's 1533-position model. The record is from RNAcentral.